Molecule: ribosomal RNA, 507 nt
Filed under: uncultured Hyphomicrobiales bacterium
Lineage: Bacteria; Pseudomonadati; Pseudomonadota; Alphaproteobacteria; Hyphomicrobiales
Description: bacterial SSU rRNA
Rfam family: Bacterial small subunit ribosomal RNA
Source: RNAcentral
GAGUUUGAUCAUGGCUCAGAACGAACGCUGGCGGCAGGCUUAACACAUGCAAGUCGAGCGCACAGUUUACUGUGAGCGGCAGACGGGUGAGUAACGCGUGGGAAUCUACCUUGAGCUACGGGAUAACAGAGAGAAAUUUCUGCUAAUACCGUAUGUGGCCUUUGGGCGAAAGAUUUAUCGGCUUAAGAUGAGCCCGCGUUGGAUUAGCUGGUUGGUGGGGUAAAGGCCUACCAAGGCGACGAUCCAUAGCUGGUCUGAGAGGAUGAUCAGCCACACUGGGACUGAGACACGGCCCAGACUCCUACGGGAGGCAGCAGUGGGGAAUAUUGGACAAUGGGCGCAAGCCUGAUCCAGCCAUGCCGCGUGAGUGAAGAAGGCCUUAGGGUUGUAAAGCUCUUUCACCGGUGAAGAUAAUGACGGUAGCCGGAGAAGAAGCCCCGGCUAACUUCGUGCCAGCAGCCGCGGUAAUACGAAGGGGGCUAGCGUUGUUCGGAUUUACUGGGCGUA